UCAGUCUUGAACUUGAAUUUCGAAAGUUUACCGACUCUUGCCGGGAACCUCAACCCUAGAUAUCCGCGUAACGAUGUAUUCCUUAAAAAGGAGACUAAGCGCAUCAUCCUCAUCAUCCCACGGUACACCACUCUAUCUGCAGCGGCGAUCCCAAGCCAGUGGAGAGCAGCCUGGCAGUAGAGCAGUGGCAUCAAGUACCACAUCCAGAUACUGAGAAAAGAAACCGAAUUGAAGAAGUGGGGAAAGCUUUAGAGGAGUUUUAUGAGGAUCACGGCAAUGCAAUGAAGCAACAGUUGGAGCUUUAAGGUGCUACAAGAGGAACAUUUCUGAAUCCAUUGGGGAAAACAGUCUUGGCAAGAAGGAGUGAUAUAAAAGGAGAGCAUUUCUCAGUAACAUCAGUGCUGUCCACUUACAGCAGUUCUGCAUAUCCCCAUCCUGUCUACCAUGUGUCACACAUGUGCCUCAGUGGAUCGCUCAUCUAAGGUAUGUACUACCACCCUGGGUCAAGAGGGGGUGCCUGUGCUACCUUUGUCCUCUUCUGUUCCAUCCACAGUACUGAGAAGAUGUCCACUGAGGGACCCCUAAAAAACCAGAGGCCACCAGAAGGAGGCAUUUCUCCUUUGUGAACAGAACCACACCGCAAGACAAGUUCCUACCUGGUGACUGAAACUUUGGAAUUACAAAGUCCGACAGCUCCUGUGCUUAUUUUGGAGUUUUCUGUUUCAUUUUGUGCCCAUUGCGGCUACCUUCAUUUACCUUCUCUUUAGUUCGAUCAAAUGGGAACGACCGGGUUGGCAACCCGACAUUUCCUCAUAACUUGCAGUCCUUUACUUGACCACACGUGAUAAAUGUCAUCUACCUCUCAGUUUGAUUUGUAGGGUUCAUAAAGUUAAUUCCAAGUCGAAACAAUUAUCAUAGCGUUAACUUAAAGCCUUGCUAAUCAUCUUACUGUUUAGGGCAAACAAGAUAGCAGUUUUGCAGUGUCCUUGUUACUGCUUCUUUAUGUUUGCUCAUUUGUCCUUUUUAAAAGGAAUUUCAUAAUGAAUAUAUAAUAAACUAGGGGGCUUUGCCCCCUGCUUGCUUUGCUCGCCAACC
Polypterus senegalus (gray bichir) is the source of this 1095-nucleotide long non-coding RNA. RefSeq lists it as uncharacterized. Lineage: Eukaryota; Metazoa; Chordata; Cladistia; Polypteriformes; Polypteridae. The transcript has 4 exons. The record is from RefSeq and is a predicted model, not a curated record.